GGGAGAUCUGGGAUUUGGGAGGCAGCCACAUGGGUUAGAACAAUGAAUCAGAAUUUGAACUGGGCAAGGAAAGCGUAUCCAUGGUGGGAGGUCCUGCAUGGGUAUCAGAGCCUGAGGAGGGUGAGGGACAUUGUGGAGGCAGCCCCACAUGGGGUGUCAUAACCCAAGCAUGGUGAGAGGCCACCUAUGUGGAAGGAGCACAUGGUGGGUUAGAGCAGAGGGAAGGAAGCAGACAUGACCAGGGAUAGUCCAACAUGGUAUAUUCUAUGACUCAUGGUAUAUUCCAAUGUGUACACUAAGUGCCUCAAUCUUGAUUUCUAAAAACUAUGCUAAAAUAAACUAGGAUUCCUGGGAGAAAUGGCUUAUUCCAGGGCUAAGCAGGAAAAACACAGGUGAUUCUGGAAAUUUUUGUUCCAGAAAAGAAAGAUGUUUCCAAGGGUGAGAUAGGUGUCCAAAUAGGGGAAGCCCAGCAAUAGAUGUCAGUGCCUGAGCUGCGAGAGCAGAGGCCACGCCGGAGGCAGCUCAGUGUAGAGUUAGGGCCUGAACUGGGUGGAAAGGGUGUCCAUGUGAGGGUGGCCCCAUGUGGGGAGUCAGAGCCUGAGUGGAGUAAGGAGGGCAUCCACUGUACAGGAAACCCACCCAAAGAAGAGUUCAGAGCCCGAGCAAGCUAAGGCGGGUGUCCUGGUGGAGGAAUGACCUAGAGUGGAGGCUCAGAAGGUAGGUAUAGUAAAGGGUGACCACAUCAGGGAGUGAAUGACCAUGAACAUGGGACGUUAGAUACACUGAAUGAAUUGCCAGGUAUGGUUUUACACACCUGUAAACCCAGCUACUCAAGAGGCUAAAGCUGGAGCAUCACAUGUUUGAGACCAGCCUUGACAACUUGGCAAGUCUCAAAGAAAAAACAAAACAAAACAAAACUACAAACAAAAAACCAACUGAAGAUGCAGCUCAGUGAUAG
RNAcentral lists this long non-coding RNA (958 nucleotides) under Marmota monax (woodchuck). The record is from RNAcentral. Lineage: Eukaryota; Metazoa; Chordata; Mammalia; Rodentia; Sciuridae.